Long non-coding RNA from Electrophorus electricus (electric eel), 913 nucleotides. RefSeq lists it as uncharacterized. NCBI's taxonomy places the organism in Eukaryota, Metazoa, Chordata, Actinopteri, Gymnotiformes, Gymnotidae. The record is from RefSeq and is a predicted model, not a curated record.
CAGGGUCACCAUGGAGGAUAAGAAGGUAGACACUAUAAUGAAUUGGCCACUCCCACAGACUCCUAAAGCACUUCAAAGGUUCUUGGGCUUUGGAAACUUUUACAGCCGAUUUAUAUGCGAUUUCUGUGCCAUCACUACACCUCUCACUUCCAUGUUAAAAGGAAAACCUAAGUACUUCAGUGGAACCCAUGAGCGGAGCAGGCUUUUCAGGCUUUAAAGAAAGCCUUCACAGAGACUCCAGUAAUGCAGCAUCCUGAUCCGGAGGAGCCCUUCGUGGUUGAGGUGGACACGGAGACAGGAGUCGGAGCCGUCCUUUCCCAACAUAUUGAUCACGUCCAGACCAGGAUCCUGGAAUGCCAAGCCUGAUGUCCUUUUUGGAAUGUAUGAAGACAGAUUAAUCACCUGGGAACACUCUUCACUUGCUGCCGGUCAUCCAAGAAAUGUUAAGACCCAACAGCUGAUUUCACACAAAUACUGGUGGAAGUCUGACAAUCGCAUGCAUAACUUCAUCUCUUCCUGUUCGGACUGUGCACACCUAAGGACCCCACGGAUGCUACCUGCUGGUACGCUUCAGCAUCACCAGCUGUAGUCCAGUGGAUGUGGCGGAGUGAACAGGUCUGGGAAAAUAUCCCUCAGCACAUGCAACAGGCCAAAAGACCAUUUCAGCGGCAUGCAGACUGCCCUGGGACACCACCUCCUACCUUCAUGCCUGGAGACAGAGGGGUUCUCCUGAAUAUACAAUCCAUGAAAUACUGGACUCCAGAAGGAGCAAUGAGCAUCAGUAUAUCAUCGAUUGGGAGGGGUUCGGUCCUGAGGAGGGAUGUAUUGGAUUCCACAGCACGCACCGGGAUAGACCUGCUCCUUAUCCCAGAAGUCGUCCUCGUGGCCGUUUGGCGUUGUCAGCUGACUCUGG